GCAUGUUCACAUGAUUAAAGGUACUCCGGUAGACGAUGGGGAUGCGUUCCAUUAGAUAGUAGGCGGGGUAACGGCCCACCUAGUCUUCGAUGGAUAGGGGUUCUGAGAGGAAGGUCCCCCACAUUGGAACUGAGACACGGUCCAAACUCCUACGGGAGGCAGCAGUGAGGAAUAUUGGUCAAUGGGCGAGAGCCUGAACCAGCCAAGUAGCGUGAAGGAUGACUGCCCUAUGGGUUGUAAACUUCUUUUAUAAAGGAAUAAAGUCGGGUAUGCAUACCCGUUUGCAUGUACUUUAUGAAUAAGGAUCGGCUAACUCCGUGCCAGCAGCCGCGGUAAUACGGAGGAUCCGAGCGUUAUCCGGAUUUAUUGGGUUUAAAGGGAGCGUAGAUGGAUGUUUAAGUCAGUUGUGAAAGUUUGCGGCUCAACCGUAAAAUUGCAGUUGAUACUGGAUAUCUUGAGUGCAGUUGAGGCAGGCGGAAUUCGUGGUGUAGCGGUGAAAUGCUUAGAUAUCACGAAGAACUCCGAUUGCGAAGGCAGCCUGCUAAGCUGCAACUGACAUUGAGGCUCGAAAGUGUGGGUAUCAAACAGGAUUAGAUACCCUGGUAGUCCACACGGUAAACGAUGAAUACUCGCUGUUUGCGAUAUACAGCAAGCGGCC
Molecule: ribosomal RNA, 658 nt
Filed under: uncultured bacterium
Lineage: Bacteria
Description: bacterial SSU rRNA
Rfam family: Bacterial small subunit ribosomal RNA
Source: RNAcentral